AUGGGUGCCCCGACGUUGCCCCCUGCCUGGCAGCCCUUUCUCAAGGACCACCGCAUCUCUACAUUCAAGAACUGGCCCUUCUUGGAGGGCUGCGCCUGCACCCCGGAGCGGAUGGCCGAGGCUGGCUUCAUCCACUGCCCCACUGAGAACGAGCCAGACUUGGCCCAGUGUUUCUUCUGCUUCAAGGAGCUGGAAGGCUGGGAGCCAGAUGACGACCCCAUGGUCUUACUCUGUCACCCAGGCUGAGUGCAGUGGUGUGAUCUUGGCUCACCUCAGCCUCGACCCCCUGGGCUCAAAUGAUUCUCCCACCUCAGCUUCCCAAGUAGCUGGGACCACAGGCAAAGGAAACCAACAAUAAGAAGAAAGAAUUUGAGGAAACUGCGGAGAAAGUGCGCCGUGCCAUCGAGCAGCUGGCUGCCAUGGAUUGAGGCCUCUGGCCGGAGCUGCCUGGUCCCAGAGUGGCUGCACCACUUCCAGGGUUUAUUCCCUGGUGCCACCAGCCUUCCUGUGGGCCCCUUAGCAAUGUCUUAGGAAAGGAGAUCAACAUUUUCAAAUUAGAUGUUUCAACUGUGCUCUUGUUUUGUCUUGAAAGUGGCACCAGAGGUGCUUCUGCCUGUGCAGCGGGUGCUGCUGGUAACAGUGGC
RNAcentral lists this unclassified non-coding RNA (644 nucleotides) under Homo sapiens (human). Its description in RNAcentral is "partial baculoviral IAP repeat containing 5 transcript variant 16". The record is from RNAcentral. Lineage: Eukaryota; Metazoa; Chordata; Mammalia; Primates; Hominidae.